AGUGAACGCUGGCGGUAGGCCUAACACAUGCAAGUCGAACGGCAGCACAGUAAGAGCUUGCUCUUACGGGUGGCGAGUGGCGGACGGGUGAGGAAUACAUCGGAAUCUACUUUUUCGUGGGGGAUAACGUAGGGAAACUUACGCUAAUACCGCAUACGACCUACGGGUGAAAGCAGGGGAUCUUCGGACCUUGCGCGAUUGAAUGAGCCGAUGUCGGACUAGCUAGUUGGCGAGGUAAAGGCCCACCAAGGCGACGAUCCGUAGCUGGUCUGAGAGGAUGAUCAGCCACACUGGAACUGAGACACGGUCCAGACUCCUACGGGAGGCAGCAGUGGGGAAUAUUGGACAAUGGGCGCAAGCCUGAUCCAGCCAUACCGCGUGGGUGAAGAAGGCCUUCGGGUUGUAAAGCCCUUUUGUUGGGAAAGAAAAGCAGCAGGUUAAUACCCCGCUGUUCUGACGGUACCCAAAGAAUAAGCACCGGCUAACUUCGUG
RNAcentral lists this ribosomal RNA (492 nucleotides) under uncultured bacterium. RNAcentral's name for it is "partial 16S ribosomal RNA". It matches the Rfam family "Bacterial small subunit ribosomal RNA", at positions 29 to 507 of the family's 1533-position model. The record is from RNAcentral.